UUUAAAUUAUAUAAUGAAAGAUGUAAUCGAAAAAUUCGGAAAUAUAAGCAACAUACCAGACAACGAUGGAUGUAUGCAGCUUAAUCUGUGAUGGGUGUUAUGCCAUAGAAAAGAUUGGCAACAAACCUCGCACCCUCUCUUAAUCUCCCCUAAAAUG
Molecule: long non-coding RNA, 157 nt
Organism: Musca domestica (house fly)
Lineage: Eukaryota; Metazoa; Arthropoda; Insecta; Diptera; Muscidae
Exons: 3
Source: RefSeq, a predicted model, not a curated record